RNAcentral lists this ribosomal RNA (253 nucleotides) under uncultured bacterium. RNAcentral's name for it is "partial 16S ribosomal RNA". It matches the Rfam family "Bacterial small subunit ribosomal RNA", at positions 524 to 776 of the family's 1533-position model. The record is from RNAcentral.
UACGUAGGGUGCAAGCGUUGUCCGGAUUUACUGGGCGUAAAGGGUGCUCAGGUGGCUUGGAAAGUCAGUGGUGAAAUCUGAGAGCUUAACUCUCAAACUGCCAUUGAUACUUCUUAGCUUGAGUACGGAAGAGGCUGAUGGAAUUUCAGGUGUAGCAGUGAAAUGCGUAGAUAUCUGAAAGAACACCAGUGGCGAAGGCGGUCAGCUGGUCCGUUACUGACACUAAAGCACGAAAGCGUGGGUAGCAAACAGG